GUGGAGUUAGCGAAGUGGUCAAACGUGACCGACUCAAAAUCGGUUCCUUAGGGUUCAAGGGUUCGAACCCCUUACUCUACA
This 81-nucleotide transfer RNA is filed under the name Nanoarchaeales archaeon. Its description in RNAcentral is "tRNA-Leu". It matches the Rfam family "tRNA". From Rfam's summary of the family: Transfer RNA (tRNA) molecules are approximately 80 nucleotides in length. Their secondary structure includes four short double-helical elements and three loops (D, anti-codon, and T loops). Further hydrogen bonds mediate the characteristic L-shaped molecular structure. tRNAs have two regions of fundamental functional importance: the anti-codon, which is responsible for specific mRNA codon recognition, and the 3' end, to which the tRNAs corresponding amino acid is attached (by aminoacyl-tRNA synthetases). tRNAs cope with the degeneracy of the genetic code in two manners: having more than one tRNA (with a specific anti-codon) for a particular amino acid; and 'wobble' base-pairing, i.e. permitting non-standard base-pairing at the 3rd anti-codon position. Lineage: Archaea; Nanobdellati; Nanobdellota; Candidatus Nanoarchaeia; Nanoarchaeales. The record is from RNAcentral.